AGUUCAAUGUAGCCACCCUCUCCAGGCCCGCUGCUUCUGCCAGCUGGAUGUUGCGUCGUCCCUCGCUAUUCGCCCUCCUAUAAUCACUGCUUCCAUGUUGAAUCAAAACAAUUAUGCUUUCGUUCUCCCUUCUUCAAUUGCCCUAUCUUCACACCUGAACACUAUUGCUCCGGUAUCCUGCCAUUUUGGAUCAGGGCGGUUGACGGUGGAUUCACUUCCCAUCAGCCCUUGAGGCUGCAGGGACCAGCCCUUUGUACAGUGGAGAAGCCCAGGCGGCCUAGAAUCCAGUGUCGUCCGUGAGUGCUUGGCUGGUGUUCAAGUGCAUCUUCCAGCCUGAGACCGCGUGGACUCGCUCAUCGUGAGGGCGAGAGGAGGAUAAGCCCAUUGGGCUGUCGGCUGAGAGUGAGGUGCGGGACCAUCCACAAUAUUGUUUGAACAUCUGAAGACAUGGGGAACUUGCCAUCUGAUAUCUGAUAACAGACUUCCUGUAAAGCAGGACUGGUAGUUUCCUGAUAACAAAUUCUUCAAUAUGAAGGAUAUAGCUGUGUCCUUUACAACUGGUAGCAUGGAAAGAAAGAGAAGUCUGCAAAGAUUGAACAAACAGCAUGCACUGUGGUAUCCUUUAUUUAAAAAUUGUGAGCUGACUACAGUUGUAGUGUUCUCAUUUACCAUUCUGAUGGCAUAAUAAACCAAGAGAACAUUAACACAAUUCCAAGAAGGCAUUAACCUGUAACACACAUAUACGCCACACAUGCACACACACAACAUACACGCACACAAAGGUUAUAUUCUGAACACAAAAGUGAUAGAAAAAAGCUUUGAAUGCGCUAAAUCAAAUAAAAACCCUUUAUUAUAAUAAACUGUGGCAAUACUGUG
This 876-nucleotide long non-coding RNA is filed under the name Homo sapiens (human). RNAcentral describes it as "HSALNT0314223". The record is from RNAcentral. Lineage: Eukaryota; Metazoa; Chordata; Mammalia; Primates; Hominidae.